RNAcentral lists this ribosomal RNA (705 nucleotides) under uncultured Alphaproteobacteria bacterium. Its description in RNAcentral is "bacterial SSU rRNA". It matches the Rfam family "Bacterial small subunit ribosomal RNA", at positions 121 to 863 of the family's 1533-position model. Lineage: Bacteria; Pseudomonadati; Pseudomonadota; Alphaproteobacteria. The record is from RNAcentral.
GUAUCUGCCCUUUGGCCUGGAAUAACACGAGGAAACUUGUGCUAAUACCGGAUAAGUCUUUACGGAGAAAGCUUUAUGCACCAUUGGAUGAGCCUGCACUUGAUUAGUUUGUUGGUGGGGUAAUGGCCUACCAAGACUGUGAUCAAUAGCUGAUUUGAGAGGAUGAUCAGCCACAUUGGGACUGAGACACGGCCCAAACUCCUACGGGAGGCAGCAGUGGGGAAUCUUGCACAAUGGAGGAAACUCUGAUGCAGCGAUGCCGCGUGAGUGAAGAAGGCCCUUGGGUUGUAAAGCUCUUUCGUCGGGGAAGAAAAUGACUGUACCCGAAUAAGAAGGUCCGGCUAACUUCGUGCCAGCAGCCGCGGUAAUACGAAGGGACCUAGCGUAGUUCGGAAUUACUGGGCUUAAAGAGUUCGUAGGUGGUUGAAAAAGUUGGUGGUGAAAUCCCAGAGCUUAACUCUGGAACUGCCAUCAAAACUUUUCAGCUAGAGUUUGAUAGAGGAAAGCAGAAUUUCUAGUGUAGAGGUGAAAUUCGUAGAUAUUAGAAAGAAUACCGAUUGCGAAGGCAGCUUUCUGGAUCAUUACUGACACUGAGGAACGAAAGCAUGGGUAGCGAAGAGGAUUAGAUACCCUCGUAGUCCAUGCCGUAAACGAUGUGUGUUAGACGUUGGGAAUUUAUUUUCAGUGUCGCAGCGAAAGCGAUAA